AUUGAACGCUGGCGGCAGGCCUAACACAUGCAAGUCGAGCGGAUGAAGGGAGCUUGCUCCUGGAUUCAGCGGCGGACGGGUGAGUAAUGCCUAGGAAUCUGCCUGGUAGUGGGGGAUAACGUCCGGAAACGGGCGCUAAUACCGCAUACGUCCUGAGGGAGAAAGUGGGGGAUCUUCGGACCUCACGCUAUCAGAUGAGCCUAGGUCGGAUUAGCUAGUUGGUGGGGUAAAGGCCUACCAAGGCGACGAUCCGUAACUGGUCUGAGAGGAUGAUCAGUCACACUGGAGCUGAGACACGGUCCAGACUCCUACGGGAGGCAGCAGUGGGGAAUAUUGGACAAUGGGCGAAAGCCUGAUCCAGCCAUGCCGCGUGUGUGAAGAAGGUCUUCGGAUUGUAAAGUACUUUAAGUUGGGAGGAAGGGCAGUAAGUUAAUACCUUGCUGUUUUGACGUUACCAACAGAAUAAGCACCGGCUAACUUCGUG
This 484-nucleotide ribosomal RNA is filed under the name uncultured bacterium. RNAcentral describes it as "partial 16S ribosomal RNA". It matches the Rfam family "Bacterial small subunit ribosomal RNA", at positions 30 to 507 of the family's 1533-position model. The record is from RNAcentral.